Molecule: ribosomal RNA, 954 nt
Filed under: Myriotrema bahianum
Lineage: Eukaryota; Fungi; Ascomycota; Lecanoromycetes; Ostropales; Graphidaceae
Description: eukaryotic LSU rRNA
Rfam family: Eukaryotic large subunit ribosomal RNA
Source: RNAcentral
CCGGGUGCGGCCCCGGUCCAAGUCCCUUGGAACAGGGCGUCGCAGAGGGUGAGAAUCCCGUACGCGGCCGAUGGCCAAGCCCUUGUGGAGCCCUUUCGACGAGUCGAGUUGUUUGGGAAUGCAGCUCUAAAUGGGUGGUAAAUUUCAUCUAAAGCUAAAUAUUUGCUGGAGACCGAUAGCGCACAAGUAGAGUGAUCGAAAGAUGAAAAGCACUUUGAAAAGAGAGUCAAACAGUACGUGAAAUUGUUGAAAGGGAAGCGCUUGCAAUCAGACUCGUUCGCGGGUGCUCAGCCGUCCCUCGGGGCGGUGCAUUCUCCCGCGUUUCGGGCCAGCAUCGGUUUCGGCGGCCGGAUAAAGGCUCCUGGGAACGUAGCUCUCUUCGGGGAGUGUUAUAGCCCAGGGUGCAAUGCGGCCAGCCGGGACCGAGGACCGCGCGUUCGCUAGGAUGCUGGCGUAAUGGUUGUCAGCGACCCGUCUUGAAACACGGACCAAGGAGUCGACCAAUCUGGCGAGUUUUAGGGCAUGAAACCCUGAAGCGCAAUGAAAGUGAACGCAGGUGGGAGCCCCCCGGGUGCACCAUCGACCGAUCCUGAUGUCUUCGGAUGGAUUUGAGUACGAGCCCGGUUGGUCGGACCCCGAAAGAUGGUGAACUAUGCGUGAAUAGGGGUGAAGCCAGAGGAAACUCUGGUGGAGGCUCGCAGCGGUUCUGACGUGCAAAUCGAUCGUCAAAUUUGCGCAUAGGGGCGAAAGACUAAUCGAACUAUCUAGUAGCUGGUUCCCGUCGAAGUUUCCCUCAGGAUAGCAGCAACGAAAUUACAGUCUCAUGAGGUAGAGCAAACGAUUAGAGGUCUUGGGGUUGAAAUCGACCUUAACCUAUUCUCGAACUUCGAAUAUGUGAGAAGUCCUUGUUACUUAAUUGAACGUGGACAUUUGGAAUGUAUCGUUGCUAGUGGG